This 492-nucleotide ribosomal RNA is filed under the name uncultured bacterium. Its description in RNAcentral is "partial 16S ribosomal RNA". It matches the Rfam family "Bacterial small subunit ribosomal RNA", at positions 29 to 507 of the family's 1533-position model. The record is from RNAcentral.
AGUGAACGCUGGCGGUAGGCCUAACACAUGCAAGUCGAACGGCAGCACAGUAAGAGCUUGCUCUGACGGGGGGGGAGUGGCGGACGGGUGAGGAAUACAUCGGAAUCUACUUUUUCGUGGGGGAUAACGUAGGGAAACUUACGCUAAGACCGCAUAGGACCUACGGGUGAAAGCAGGGGAUCUUCGGACUUUGCGCGAUUGAAUGAGCCGAUGUCGGAUUAGCUAGUGGGCGGGGUAAAGGCCCACCAAGGCGCCGAUCCGUAGCUGGUCUGAGAGGAUGAUCAGCCACUCUGGCACUGAGACACGGUCCAGCCUCCUACGGGAGGCCGCAGUGGGGAAUAUUGGACAAUGGGCGCAAGCCUGAUCCAGCCAUACCGCGUGGGUGAAGAAGGCCUUCGGGUUGUAAAGCCCUUUUGUUGUGAAAGAAAAGCAGCAGGUUAAUACCCCGCUGUUCUGACGGUACCCAAAGAAUAAGCACCGGCUAACUUCGUG